GAUGAACGCUGGCGGCGUGCCUAAUACAUGCAAGUCGAGCGAACAGAUGAGGAGCUUGCUCCUCUGACGUUAGCGGCGGACGGGUGAGUAACACGUGGAUAACCUACCUAUAAGACUGGGAUAACUUCGGGAAACCGGAGCUAAUACCGGAUAAUAUAUUGAACCGCAUGGUUCAAUAGUGAAAGACGGUUUUGCUGUCACUUAUAGAUGGAUCCGCGCCGCAUUAGCUAGUUGGUAAGGUAACGGCUUACCAAGGCGACGAUGCGUAGCCGACCUGAGAGGGUGAUCGGCCACACUGGAACUGAGACACGGUCCAGACUCCUACGGGAGGCAGCAGUAGGGAAUCUUCCGCAAUGGGCGAAAGCCUGACGGAGCAACGCCGCGUGAGUGAUGAAGGUCUUCGGAUCGUAAAACGCUGUUAUUAGGGAAGAACAAAUGUGUAAGUAACUAUGCACGUCUUGACGGUACCUAAUCAGAAAGCCACGGCUAACUACGUG
RNAcentral lists this ribosomal RNA (497 nucleotides) under uncultured bacterium. Its description in RNAcentral is "partial 16S ribosomal RNA". It matches the Rfam family "Bacterial small subunit ribosomal RNA", at positions 28 to 507 of the family's 1533-position model. The record is from RNAcentral.